This 467-nucleotide ribosomal RNA is filed under the name uncultured bacterium. Its description in RNAcentral is "partial 16S ribosomal RNA". It matches the Rfam family "Bacterial small subunit ribosomal RNA", at positions 28 to 506 of the family's 1533-position model. The record is from RNAcentral.
GACGAACGCUGGCGGCGUGCUUAACACAUGCAAGUCGAACGGAAAGGCCCUGCUUUUGUGGGGUGCUCGAGUGGCGAACGGGUGAGUAACACGUGAGUAACCUGCCCUUGACUUUGGGAUAACUUCAGGAAACUGGGGCUAAUACCGGAUAGGAGCUCCUGCUGCAUGGUGGGGGUUGGAAAGUUUCGGCGGUUGGGGAUGGACUCGCGGCUUAUCAGCUUGUUGGUGGGGUAGUGGCUUACCAAGGCUUUGACGGGUAGCCGGCCUGAGAGGGUGACCGGCCACAUUGGGACUGAGAUACGGCCCAGACUCCUACGGGAGGCAGCAGUGGGGAAUAUUGCACAAUGGGCGGAAGCCUGAUGCAGCAACGCCGCGUGCGGGAUGAGGGCCUUCGGGUUGUAAACCGCUUUCGCCUGUGACGAAGCGUGAGUGACGGUAAUGGGUAAAGAAGCACCGGCUAACUACGU